AACGAACGCUGGCGGCAUGCCUAACACAUGCAAGUCGAACGAGACCUUCGGGUCUAGUGGCGCACGGGUGCGUAACGCGUGGGAAUCUGCCCUUGGGUUCGGAAUAACAGUUGGAAACGACUGCUAAUACCGGAUGAUGACGUAAGUCCAAAGAUUUAUCGCCCAAGGAUGAGCCCGCGUAGGAUUAGCUAGUUGGUGAGGUAAAGGCUCACCAAGGCGACGAUCCUUAGCUGGUCUGAGAGGAUGAUCAGCCACACUGGGACUGAGACACGGCCCAGACUCCUACGGGAGGGAGCAGUGGGGAAUAUUGGACAAUGGGCGAAAGCCUGAUCCAGCAAUGCCGCGGGAGUGAUGAAGGCCUUAGGGUUGUAAAGCUCUUUUACCCGGGAUGAUAAUGACAGUAACGGGAGAAUAAGCACCGGCUAACUCCGUG
RNAcentral lists this ribosomal RNA (433 nucleotides) under uncultured bacterium. RNAcentral's name for it is "partial 16S ribosomal RNA". It matches the Rfam family "Bacterial small subunit ribosomal RNA", at positions 29 to 507 of the family's 1533-position model. The record is from RNAcentral.